Molecule: ribosomal RNA, 486 nt
Filed under: uncultured bacterium
Lineage: Bacteria
Description: partial 16S ribosomal RNA
Rfam family: Bacterial small subunit ribosomal RNA
Source: RNAcentral
AUUGAACGCUGGCGGCAUGCCUUACACAUGCAAGUCGAACGGCAGCACGGGUGCUUGCCCCUGGUGGCGAGUGGCGAACGGGUGAGUAAUACAUCGGAACAUGUCCUGUAGUGGGGGAUAGCCCAGCGAAAGCCGGAUUAAUACCGCAUACGAUCCACGGAUGAAAGCGGGGGACCUUCGGGCCUCGCGCUAUAGGGUUGGCCGAUGGCUGAUUAGCUAGUUGGUGGGGUAAAGGCCUACCAAGGCGACGAUCAGUAGCUGGUCUGAGAGGACGACCAGCCACACUGGGACUGAGACACGGCCCAGACUCCUACGGGAGGCAGCAGUGGGGAAUUUUGGACAAUGGGCGAAAGCCUGAUCCAGCAAUGCCGCGUGUGUGAAGAAGGCCUUCGGGUUGUAAAGCACUUUUGUCCGGAAAGAAAUCCUUGACUCUAAUACAGUCGGGGGAUGACGGUACCGGAAGAAUAAGCACCGGCUAACUACGUG